UACGAAGGGUGCAAGCGUUACUCGGAAUUACUGGGCGUAAAGCGUGCGUAGGCGGUUUGUUAAGUCUGUCGUGAAAGCCCUGGGCUCAACCUGGGAACUGCGAUGGAUACUGGCGAGCUAGAGUACGGUAGAGGAUGGUGGAAUUCCCGGUGUAGCGGUGAAAUGCGUAGAGAUCGGGAGGAACACCCGUGGCGAAGGCGGCCAUCUGGACCAGUACUGACGCUGAGGCACGAAAGCGUGGGGAGCAAACAGG
This 253-nucleotide ribosomal RNA is filed under the name uncultured bacterium. Its description in RNAcentral is "partial 16S ribosomal RNA". It matches the Rfam family "Bacterial small subunit ribosomal RNA", at positions 524 to 776 of the family's 1533-position model. The record is from RNAcentral.